Molecule: ribosomal RNA, 1306 nt
Filed under: Cytospora sorbicola
Lineage: Eukaryota; Fungi; Ascomycota; Sordariomycetes; Diaporthales; Cytosporaceae
Description: partial large subunit ribosomal RNA
Rfam family: Eukaryotic large subunit ribosomal RNA
Source: RNAcentral
UGCCCUAGUAACGGCGAGUGAAGCGGCAACAGCUCAAAUUUGAAAGCUGGCUCCGGCCCGCAUUGUAAUUUGCAGAGGAUGCUUUUGGCGAGGUGCCUUCCGAGUUCCCUGGAACGGGACGCCAUAGAGGGUGAGAGCCCCGUAUGGAUGGACACCAAACCUGUGUAAAGCUCCUUCAACGAGUCGAGUAGUUUGGGAAUGCUGCUCUAAAUGGGAGGUAAAUCUCUUCUAAAGCUAAAUACCGGCCAGAGACCGAUAGCGCACAAGUAGAGUGAUCGAAAGAUGAAAAGCACCUUGAAAAGGGGGUUAAACAGUACGUGAAAUUGUUGAAAGGGAAGCAUUUAUGACCAGACUUGCGCCGGGCAGCUCAUCAGGGGUUCUCCCCUGUGCACUCUGCCCGGCUCAGGCCAGCAUCGGUUCUCGUGGGAGGAUAAGAACAGUGGGAACGUGGCCCCCCUCCGGGGGGGUGUUAUAGCCCAUUGUACGAUACUCUCGUGGGGACCGAGGUUCGCGCUCCGCAAGGAUGCUGGCGUAAUGGUCAUCAAUGACCCGUCUUGAAACACGGACCAAGGAGUCGUCCAUUAGAGCGAGCGUUUGGGUGUAAAACCCGCACGCGUAAUGAAAGUGAACGCAGGUGAGAGCUUCGGCGCAUCAUCGACCGAUCCUGAUGUCUUCGGAUGGAUUUGAGUAAGAGUUUUAACGGACGGACCCGAAAGACAGUGAACUAUGCUUGUAUAGGGUGAAGCCAGAGGAAACUCUGGUGGAGGCUCGCAGCGGUUCUGACGUGCAAAUCGAUCGUCAAAUAUGAGCAUGGGGGCGAAAGACUAAUCGAACUGUCUAGUAGCUGGUUACCGCCGAAGUUUCCCUCAGGAUAGCAGUGUUGUUCUUCAGUUUUAUGAGGUAAAGCGAAUGAUUAGGGACUCGGGGGCGCUUAUUAGCCUUCAUCCAUUCUCAAACUUUAAAUAUGUAAGAAGCCCUUGUUACUUAAUUGAACGUGGGCAUUCGAAUGUACCAACACUAGUGGGCCAUUUUUGGUAAGCAGAACUGGCGAUGCGGGAUGAACCGAACGCGGGGUUAAGGCGCCAGAGUGUACGCUCAUCAGACACCACAAAAGGCGUUAGUACAUCUUGACAGCAGGACGGUGGCCAUGGAAGUCGGAAUCCGCUAAGGACUGUGUAACAACUCACCUGCCGAAUGUACUAGCCCUGAAAAUGGAUGGCGCUCAAGCGUACCGCCCAUACCCCGCCCUCAGGGUAGAAACGAUGCCCUGAGGGAGUAGGCGGCCGUGGGGGUCAGUGACGAAGCC